UGGCGGCGGCCAAUCAGCGCUCGGCUUCCAUUUUGUGAGUUCAACUCUGAGGCUUCCCCGGCUUUCGCGUGGAUCUGUUUGCAGACCCCUCGGUCUCUCUUCUCGGGCUGCCGAGGCGAAGCAGCCGCCUCGCCGGGGCUUCGUGCUGCUGUAUUUCAUAUUGGGGCUCUUUUCGGGGGUUUGUAAUUUGGCCGUGGGUAGGUAAUUGGCUGGAGCAGGGCGGCAGGGCGCGGCAGCCAAUCAGCACGCGGCUUCUAUAGGGCUUGAGUUAUUAGACGCUGAUCUCAAAACAUCCUUCAUCAGACUCCAAGGAGAGGCCAACAGAUGAGGGGAGCCAUUUUUCUGCAAUGGAAUUAAAUGGCCAAGUGGGUUUUUCCUUUGUUGCAAAUGGGGAAUGCUUCUCCUUUGACUCCACCAUCCAGUUCAGGACGCCUGAAUGUGUUUAACAUUUGCCAAAGGACUCACACUUGGAAGAAUGAAGAAGACCUUUUAAAAAGAUCUGGAUUUUUCCUUAUGACUUGGAAUCCAUCUUUGUCUUGUAUAACUAGGUCAUAGCACACUAUUAAUGUCAGCAGUUAACAGUUUUGAAUUCAAAAAAAACUAAGUAAACGACAUAUUUAAUUUUUUCCUCUUUUUUUUUUUCUUGGGUGGGUGGAGGGAGAGCUUGGAGCUGUCUUAAUCUGUAUUCUCUUGACUGAACAAUAAAUUUUUAAAUAUAGUUUCCUCUAUUAAACACUUAAGCCUGACCAUCUUAUUAACUCUAUUUUUUAACAAGGUAAUGUUUUAAAUGUAUAGUUGUAGCGAAACGGCAACAAUAACAAAAAAACUGUGAGCUGUUGUUACUGUUAAAUUUUCUAAAAACCUUUUACAUUGUAAGUACCCAAUCCAUUCUGUCCUUACUGCACUGCCGUUUUCAUGUUACUGUCGCCUGAGAUGUCCUGAAUUUUCGGAACCUUCAUCUGCAUGUGUCUUUGUCUCUGUCUGAUGUAAGUCAGUUAAAAUGCUUUUAGACGUUUGCUUCUAUAAAGCUACGAUUUUUAGCUUCGAGCUUUUUUGGAAAAAAAAUAAUGUUUACAGCCAUAGUUGCUAUUCAGAUUUCUUCCCAGUAGCUCGUACACUUUCUUUAAAAAUCGAUCUAUUUGAAGAAAAACAGCUGUUUUUCUCGACUUGGGUGUGGGGUGGUGGAGGGUGAGAGAAAGGAAGACCUUUUGUAUAAAGAAAGACUGAAAGCCGUCACUGGAAACUAGAUUAAAACUGGAAAACAAGCCCUAUCCGGUUCAUGCCAAACACCUACGUUAACUCGGUGGUCUUUUCUAGGUUGGUUGGGAUGGCUGGUGAGCUAUUUUGCCUUUUGUUUGAUUUGACUUGUGUUUUCGCCUUUUGUUUCUUAAUGACGAUCACACCAUUGGUAAAGCCAGAGCAGUAAACAGCCCUCAGCGAAGCCGCCUUUUUGCCAGCCCAACCCUGGAAAGUUUGCAGUCGUGGAAGGAGCAGAAAUACCAUGAGUAUAACUUACAAAAAAAGGUCUUGGCCGGAAGACAGGAGCAAUGCCUGUGUUAUUCCCACAGUAGACAAUCCUUGCUUCCUCCGGACAUCUGGAGCAGGCCUAGUUUGACUGACAGCCUUCCCACUAAGGGUGACCAAAUGAGCCCCCUUCUGAUGCCUGGCUUGCUGGAUAGACAAAGAACCAGAAGACCUGAAGUGUUAGGCUCCAGUUUCCCAAGAGAAAAGGUUUCCUUGGCUUCUCCUUUUCCUGGAUCCUCACAGUGGCCCCCCUGGUUCUCAACAAGGCCAGGCGUUUCUAGAAUGUGACAAAGCUGGACAUGAAAGUAGGUUGGCCCUUUACCUGUCUGUAGUGACCUUACAUAGUCAACAAGGUCUGUGUGUAGUCUCUGAGCAGGAUCUCCCAGCUGCACCGGCAUCAGAAGUCAGCGGUGGAACCCAUUCAACCUGACUGUGCCCGCCUCUCGAGUUUGUCUUGUAGGCAGUACAUCUAGGAACUUGCCCUUCUUACAAGGUUCCCAGGUACGGCCAGGUUUCUAGACUCUCCCUAGUAGGUGACACCUGGGAUGCUACCCGGCUUGGUGGCUAGCAGUUGGCUUGCCCUCCUCCCAGGCAGGAAGCUUCGCUGCUGAAAUUGGUGUGGCCCUUGAUCUCUGACCCCUGCCCCCCUAGUGUGUUUCUUGUUACGUUACUUUGAUAAGCCAUUUGGCCGCAGGUGCCGCGGAUCCUGCUGGCUUCCCCUAUUUAGGCUUCAGCUUCCAGCCUCUUGUCUUCUCUUUUCUCCUCACCCCUACAGUGAGUGCUGACGUGUGAGUUAGGGAGCCUGGAAGGCUUCCCUGAGUUGUUGGAGGCAUUUUGGUGCCUAAUCAGGGAUGCUUCAAGUCUGGCAGCCGUGGGCUAGAUGUGGACCAAGCUAGUGACCUUGGACCAGUGUAUCUCCCUCCCCCUCUCCCCGUAAAAGACCACAAUACCUGCUGGAAAAGGUUGGUGGGAGGAUUAAGGGAGAUUAAGGGGGCCAGACUCCUGCUCUGACUUCGCAAUCAGUUGGCCUCCAUUGUGAUAAGGAUUGUUGCGGGGAGUGGCUGCUCGCUGCGCGGGUGGGGGCUGGGCUGUCUCCUGGGCUCCUCCCCGCCAGCCCACUUCCUGAAGCACGUGCUGGAGCCUCCAGGCAAAGGAGAAAGAAAACUGGCUCUGCUUGGGAAGGCAGCCAGCCCUGUUUUUCUUCCAGUGUUUGAGUCCAGGCUGUUCCGGGCUCCGUGGGCUGUUUUGUGGUUGGGUCACGAUUUUAAGGGCCACCCACCAAUGGCCCCAAGAGAAGAAAUGUCUCACCCAAGGUUAUGAGGCCACCACAGGCAGAGCCUGGACAGGGUUCCAGGUGUCUUGAUUUUCAGCCCAGAGCCUGGGCCCGUGACACCCCCUUGCCCAGCUGUCUGGGUUAUUUUAGGCUCCCUCCUGUGCCAGCUGUCUGCCUUUAUCACUGCCAGAGAGCUGUCUGGUUUAGCAAGGCACCACAAUGGUCCUGUGGCUCCUGCUGGUGCAGAGGGCCAGGCAUCAAGUCCGUGGAUGAGCUGGCUUUAUGCUGGGAAGGCCGAACUCAUCACCCCAAUUGAGAAAGGGGGAGGGAAGAGCACUUUCCCAAGUUGGUCUCGUUCAUAUACAUACCCGGUAAGCCUUCGAACACACUUGAUCUAUCUAAGGGCUCUGGUUAGAGUCCUUGGGUCUGGGGGUCUUUAUCUCCUACAGCCUCAGACUAAUUGAUUUAAGUCGCGCUGUGUCAGCUGUACCCUGGAGGGCUACAGGCUUUAGGGACCAAUUAGGCGCUAAACUGCGACUCGAUGCUUGAAAGGGGAAGAUGGAAGUGACCCGGCCAACGGUGACAGUCUCUACUUCAGGCUUUUUUCCCACCUCCCUUUCUCCUUUCUUUGGCCCCCUUAUCACCCCCUGGGCAGUAGGGUGGGGCAGUUUGUCCUGCUGUUGUUCCUGGCCCUGAGGGGUGCCCCGCCUCCUGGUCGCCCACUGAGCGUAGGGCGGGGCUGCUUUGGCCUGCUGAGAGAGGGCCACGCCAGCGGAAGGCUUGCCUGAACUGGGAGGUGGCUGCACUAGCUUUACUACACAGAUUCCAGUGUCCCCGCCCCUUCCGGCUCCUCCACCUGGCCUGGAGCCCAAGUUUGGAAUAUGACCUUUUUAGACUCUCCGAGUUGAGGCAGCCACCGUGAUGGGUCGGAAAACCGGCCAUCACCGCUGUCCUGUCCCCAGUGUUUUCUCGGAGUGUUCUGUGCCCUCAGGCAAAUUCUUGCUGAAGGGAGCCAGGAGGGGAACGUUGAACAACAACAAAAAAACCUUUUGAGCUAUUUCUAACAUUUUCGUUUGAUGGAGGAGGGUCUUGCCGUGUCCAGACUAGUCCUAGUGACAGUUUGGGACCGUAGGUACAUUCCUUUGUACCAGCGUUAGCUGGUUUUCAGCCUGGCUACCAAAAAUGACUCGCCCAUCUUCCGCUUGUUCCCUAAAGCUGUUAGGCAGCCGAGACCUGGCGGGAGACUGCUUAACUAGGUAGAUAAGAUAGCCCGGCUUCACCCCUCUGCUUUAUCUUAAGGCUAGAGCUAGAGUCUUUAUCACCCCCUCUUAUCUGGACCAUCUGCAUUUGGAUAGCUCAAUAAUUGAUUUAUGGCUCUCUGAGAAGGGGAGUGGAGGCCUCAGCCUCCCCCACCCAAAUUUGUACUUUGUCCUGAAAGACUGUCUGUCUGUCUCUGCUCCCCUGGAUCUGUGGUUCAAUCUUACCAGCGACCACCUGGCAGCUCCCUGAGGGGGUUUGUGUGAAGCAGGAACCAGUGGAAGGAAUUUCUUGCUUUCCUAUGCUCUCUAGGAAUUCCUGGAUAAUCUAGAGUGACCCAGGCCCCCAGAACAUCUUGCAGAUGAGGGAGUAAGCCACCCUGGGUGGGUGAGUGUGUGUAUCUCCUCAACUGGGCCGCACUGGCCCGGCCUGACCUCUGAGGAGGCUCUCGACAGUAGCUGGCUGGAUUCCUGGGUAUUUUUAGCUACAGAUCCAGCCCCACUAUCACCAGGAAAGCUGAGUCCAAAUCCAACACUCUAGGCCUGGUAGUGCUGGGGCUCUGCCCGCCCCCUGCUGAGGUGGGACUGGGUGGGUAAGGCAGGCUGGAACCCACCCGAGCCAGAACUGAUUGCUUUUGGUCUUUUCCUCUCUGCAUUUUCCUGCAGACUUGCUCUGUCACCAAGGAUGGAGAGUGCAGAUGGAGGUCCGGGAAGUUUGUGGGAAGCCGGGAGCCCUCUCUUGGUUGUAUGUAGUAGAACAAGUUCUUUUUCUCAGAAGUGAAUUCAACCCCUGGCAAAUGCAGCCAUCCAGUGUCCUGGGUUGAGAGCCAAGCCAAAAGCCGUCUGAGAGAAGAAACCUGGGGGGUCCUACAAAGGUAAGUGGGUCCCAGCUCACUCCAGAUCUCCCUCCCUUUGUGUGAUUGUUAUUCGGAGUGGCCUGCGCCUCUGGCAUAUCAAUGGAAAUUGUGUUUCCUUUCUUUCUUUCUUUCUUUCUUUCUUUCUUUAUUUAUUUAUUUAUUUAUUUAUUUAUUUUUGCUACCCUCACGGACCACUAAUAGCCCUAGCUCCUCCUUCCCUGCCUCCAUUGAGUCCUGUCUGCUGUGUCUCUUUGCAGCCCUCCUCCCCCUCAACCAGCACUUAGGCCCUCCCUGAUUUAGCCGGUUACCUUGACAACCACUUGGGCCUGUUUCCCUCAUCACCACUGAAAACCUGAAGAAGGUUUUCCAGCUGCGGUACAUUUGCCCAAGUUGGGCACCCCUCCAGCUUCUAUUGGCUCGCCCUCUAUGCAACUGUACCCAAUAUAACACACACAACCUUCCCUGUUCCUCAGCUGUAGUCUCUCUGGUCCGGGGAACUCCAUCACACUGCCUCCUCAAGACUGAGCUCCUCACAGGCAGGAACAUGGUCUUUUCUCAAUAAACAAGUUGCAAAAAAAAGGAA
Long non-coding RNA from Grammomys surdaster, 5493 nucleotides. RefSeq lists it as uncharacterized. The record is from RefSeq and is a predicted model, not a curated record. The transcript has 3 exons. NCBI's taxonomy places the organism in Eukaryota, Metazoa, Chordata, Mammalia, Rodentia, Muridae.